Molecule: ribosomal RNA, 253 nt
Filed under: uncultured bacterium
Lineage: Bacteria
Description: partial 16S ribosomal RNA
Rfam family: Bacterial small subunit ribosomal RNA
Source: RNAcentral
UACGAAGGGGGCUAGCGUUGCUCGGAAUCACUGGGCGUAAAGCGCGCGUAGGCGGCUUCUUAAGUCGGGGGUGAAAUCCUGGAGCUCAACUCCAGAACUGCCUUCGAUACUGCGGAGCUUGAGUCCGGGAGAGGUGAGUGGAACUGCGAGUGUAGAGGUGAAAUUCGUAGAUAUUCGCAAGAACACCAGUGGCGAAGGCGGCUCACUGGCCCGGUACUGACGCUGAGGUGCGAAAGCGUGGGGAGCAAACAGG